RNAcentral lists this ribosomal RNA (487 nucleotides) under uncultured bacterium. RNAcentral's name for it is "bacterial SSU rRNA". It matches the Rfam family "Bacterial small subunit ribosomal RNA", at positions 17 to 518 of the family's 1533-position model. The record is from RNAcentral.
UUCUGGCUCAGGACGAACGCUGGCGGCGUGCCUAACACAUGCAAGUCGAACGGAGAUACGAUUUCGGUUGUAUCUUAGUGGCGAACGGGUGAGUAACGCGUGAGCAACCUGACUCUUAGAGGGGGAUAACACUGGGAAACGAGUGCUAAUACCGCAUAAGACCACGACAUGGCAUCAUGACGAGGUCAAAGGAGCAAUCCGCUGAGAGAGGGGCUCGCGUCCCAUUAGAUAGAUGGCGGGGUAACGGCCCACCAUGUCAACGAUGGGUAGCCGAGCUGAGAGGCUGAUCGGCCACACUGGAACUGAGACACGGUCCAGACUCCUACGGGAGGCAGCAGUGGGGAAUAUUGGGCAAUGGGCGCAAGCCUGACCCAGCAACGCCGCGUGGGGGAAGAAGGCUUUCGGGUUGUAAACCUCUGUCCUUGGUGACGAAACAAAUGACGGUAGCCAAGGAGGAAGCCCCGGCUAACUACGUGCCAGCCGCCGC